RNAcentral lists this unclassified non-coding RNA (224 nucleotides) under uncultured fungus. RNAcentral describes it as "partial contains 5.8S ribosomal RNA, internal transcribed spacer 2, and large subunit ribosomal RNA". The stretch from base 1 to 52 matches the Rfam family "5.8S ribosomal RNA", at positions 103 to 154 of the family's 154-position model. The record is from RNAcentral. Lineage: Eukaryota; Fungi.
AACGCACAUUGCGCCUCUUGGUAUUCCGAGGGGCAUGUCUGUUUGAGCGUCAGUACCCACUCUCUCACAAGAGGUUUUGAGGGAACUCCCCCACCAACGUGGCACGCUUGCGAACCCCUACCGAUCACGACGUAGUAAACAUUCUCGUUCUGCCAGGGAAAGGGCCGCCUGAAUCGAAACUCAGUUUUGACCUCAGAUCAGACAAGGAUACCCGCUGAACUUAA